Molecule: unclassified non-coding RNA, 169 nt
Filed under: Diversispora sp.
Lineage: Eukaryota; Fungi; Glomeromycota; Glomeromycetes; Diversisporales; Diversisporaceae
Description: partial internal transcribed spacer region
Rfam family: Eukaryotic small subunit ribosomal RNA (bases 1-46)
Source: RNAcentral
AAGUCGUAACAAGGUUUCCGUAGGUGAACCUGCGGAAGGAUCAUUAAAAAUUUUUAUCCGAAAAUUCGUUUUCGGAUUAUUUGUAUUCAAAUCCCACUCUUUAUAAAAAUAUUAAUUAUAAAAAACAAUAUAAAAAAGAAAACUUUCAACAACGGAUCUCUUGGCUCUC